RNAcentral lists this ribosomal RNA (377 nucleotides) under uncultured bacterium. Its description in RNAcentral is "bacterial SSU rRNA". It matches the Rfam family "Bacterial small subunit ribosomal RNA", at positions 29 to 396 of the family's 1533-position model. The record is from RNAcentral.
AACGAACGCUGGCGGCACGCCUAAUACAUGCAAGUCGAGCGAGAAGACGUAGCAAUACGUUUGUAAAGCGGCGAACGGGUGAGGAAUACAUGGGUAACCUACCCUCGAGUGGGGAAGUAACUAGCCGAAGGUUAGCUAAUACCGCGUACGCUCCUUGGACUUCGGUUUCAGGGAGGAAAGCGAUACCGUGGGUAUCGCGCUCUUGGAUGGGCUCAUGUCCUAUCAGCUUGUUGGUGAGGAACGGCUCACCAAGGCUUCGACGGGUAGCUGGUCUGAGAGGACGAUCAGCCACACUGGCACUGCGACACGGGCCAGACUCCUACGGGAGGCAGCAGUAAGGAAUAUUGCGCAAUGGGCGAAAGCCUGACGCAGCGACG